Molecule: transfer RNA, 75 nt
Filed under: Terriglobia bacterium
Lineage: Bacteria; Pseudomonadati; Acidobacteriota; Terriglobia
Description: tRNA-His
Rfam family: tRNA
About the family: Transfer RNA (tRNA) molecules are approximately 80 nucleotides in length. Their secondary structure includes four short double-helical elements and three loops (D, anti-codon, and T loops). Further hydrogen bonds mediate the characteristic L-shaped molecular structure. tRNAs have two regions of fundamental functional importance: the anti-codon, which is responsible for specific mRNA codon recognition, and the 3' end, to which the tRNAs corresponding amino acid is attached (by aminoacyl-tRNA synthetases). tRNAs cope with the degeneracy of the genetic code in two manners: having more than one tRNA (with a specific anti-codon) for a particular amino acid; and 'wobble' base-pairing, i.e. permitting non-standard base-pairing at the 3rd anti-codon position.
Source: RNAcentral
GCGGGGUUAGUUCAGUGGUAGAACACCGGACUGUGGCUCCGGUUGCCGAGGGUUCGAAUCCCUCACCCCGCCCCA